CCCUUAACUAUUAAAAGUUUCGUUUUGGUCCUUUAACUUACUUUUUAGUUUCGUUUUGGUCCCUUAACUCUUCCUCCGUCAACCACUUUGGACUUUUAUGUUAGGAUGAAUGUAUUAAAGUUAAGGGACCAAAAUGAAACCAAAAAAUAAGUUAAGCGACCAAAACGAAACCAAAAAAUAAGUUAAGGGACCAAAACGAAACUUUUAAUAGUUAAGGGA
Molecule: microRNA precursor, 219 nt
Filed under: Medicago truncatula (barrel medic)
Lineage: Eukaryota; Viridiplantae; Streptophyta; Magnoliopsida; Fabales; Fabaceae
Description: MIR2655 microRNA precursor family
Rfam family: MIR2655 microRNA precursor family
Source: Rfam by way of RNAcentral